Pelobates cultripes (western spadefoot toad) is the source of this 234-nucleotide non-coding RNA. The record is from the annotation of a GenBank genome assembly. Lineage: Eukaryota; Metazoa; Chordata; Amphibia; Anura; Pelobatidae.
AACCGUUCUGGCAUGAAAUAUCCACCGGGCAACGCUCCACAAGAUGGCUGCCGCACGCCAGCCAUGUGCGCGAAAAGCCAGCAUGACCUAGCUGUUCGAGGAGGAGCUCAUCCAGCACAUCAGACCACCAUGUGAGCCUACCCCGGGGCUGCGCGGGCAGACUACACUGGGCAAAGGUACAGGCCUGGGGCAUUAGGCAGGGAGGAACGGGGUGCAUACAGAGCGGGAACAAAC